UACCGAGGUGGCAAGCGUUGUUCGGAAUUACUGGGCGUAAAUGGCGCGUAGGCGGUCCCUUAAGUCGGGGGUGAAAGCCCAGGGCUCAACCCUGGAACUGCCUUCGAUACUGGGAGUCUUGAGUGUGGAAGAGGUUGGUGGAACUGCGAGUGUAGAGGUGAAAUUCGUAGAUAUUCGCAAGAACACCAGUGGCGAAGGCGGCCAACUGGUCCACUACUGACGCUGAGGUGCGAAAGCGUGGGGAGCAAACAGG
Molecule: ribosomal RNA, 253 nt
Filed under: uncultured bacterium
Lineage: Bacteria
Description: partial 16S ribosomal RNA
Rfam family: Bacterial small subunit ribosomal RNA
Source: RNAcentral